CCAUAGGUACCACUGUGCCCUUAUCCCAUAGGUACCCACUGUGCCCUUAUCCCAUAGGUACCAAUGUGCCCUUAUCCCAUAGGUACCACUGUGCCCUUAUCCCAUAGGUACCCACUGUGCCCUUAUCCCAUAGGUACCAAUGUGCCCUUAUCCCAUAGGUACCAAUGUGCCCUUAUCCCAUAUGUACCACACUGUGCCCUUAUCCCAUAGGACCCCAUACCAUCCCCUUAUCCCACAGGGCCCCACACUGUGCCCUUAUCCCAUAGGUCCCCACACUGUCCCCUAUAUCCCAUAGGUCCCCACACCGAACCCUUAUCCCA
This 320-nucleotide long non-coding RNA is filed under the name Coturnix japonica (Japanese quail). Its description in RNAcentral is "lncRNA (ENSCJPG00005001607.1)". The record is from RNAcentral. Lineage: Eukaryota; Metazoa; Chordata; Aves; Galliformes; Phasianidae.